GGGUUGUGAGGUUAAGCGACUAAGCGUACACGGUGGAUGCCCUGGCAGUCAGAGGCGAUGAAGGACGUGCUAAUCUGCGAUAAGCGUCGGUAAGGUGAUAUGAACCGUUAUAACCGGCGAUUUCCGAAUGGGGAAACCCAGUGUGUUUCGACACACUAUCAUUAACUGAAUCCAUAGGUUAAUGAGGCGAACCGGGGGAACUGAAACAUCUAAGUACCCCGAGGAAAAGAAAUCAACCGAGAUUCCCCCAGUAGCGGCGAGCGAACGGGGAGCAGCCCAGAGCCUGAAUCAGUGUGUGUGUUAGUGGAAGCGUCUGGAAAGGCGUGCGAUACAGGGUGACAGCCCCGUACACAAAAAUGCACAUGCUGUGAGCUCGAUGAGUAGGGCGGGACACGUGGUAUCCUGUCUGAAUAUGGGGGGACCAUCCUCCAAGGCUAAAUACUCCUGACUGACCGAUAGUGAACCAGUACCGUGAGGGAAAGGCGAAAAGAACCCCGGCGAGGGGAGUGAAAAAGAACCUGAAACCGUGUACGUACAAGCAGUGGGAGCACGCUUAGGCGUGUGACUGCGUACCUUUUGUAUAAUGGGUCAGCGACUUAUAUUCUGUAGCAAGGUUAACCGAAUAGGGGAGCCGAAGGGAAACCGAGUCUUAACUGGGCGUUAAGUUGCAGGGUAUAGACCCGAAACCCGGUGAUCUAGCCAUGGGCAGGUUGAAGGUUGGGUAACACUAACUGGAGGACCGAACCGACUAAUGUUGAAAAAUUAGCGGAUGACUUGUGGCUGGGGGUGAAAGGCCAAUCAAACCGGGAGAUAGCUGGUUCUCCCCGAAAGCUAUUUAGGUAGCGCCUCGUGAAUUCAUCUCCGGGGGU
RNAcentral lists this ribosomal RNA (869 nucleotides) under Escherichia coli. Its description in RNAcentral is "partial 23S ribosomal RNA". It matches the Rfam family "Bacterial large subunit ribosomal RNA", at positions 1 to 903 of the family's 2925-position model. The record is from RNAcentral. Lineage: Bacteria; Pseudomonadati; Pseudomonadota; Gammaproteobacteria; Enterobacterales; Enterobacteriaceae.